Wasmannia auropunctata (little fire ant) is the source of this 494-nucleotide long non-coding RNA. RefSeq lists it as uncharacterized. The transcript has 3 exons. The record is from RefSeq and is a predicted model, not a curated record. NCBI's taxonomy places the organism in Eukaryota, Metazoa, Arthropoda, Insecta, Hymenoptera, Formicidae.
GAUCGGCCGCAUUGAGAAAGGAGUCACGGCCAUGAGCGCGCUCGUCGAGCAGACUUGUUUACACCGAACGCCAUUCAAAACGCGGACGGCCGCGAUCAUAAUCGCAUCGUUAAUCGCCGGAGCCUCUGUAUAUUACGUAUGUGUACCGUGGACGUUCAAGCGAUAUUGGAUAAAGAGGUUCUAAUAAAGAGUAAUUAUUGUAAUUAUAUCUGCAAUAAUUAGGAUUCCCGUAACAUAUCCAGGUGGAAAAUAAUCUCGACGUGACGAUAGAAUACGCGUUUAACCAGAAGUCAAUCACAGUUCACACGCACGUAGUGCCGAAAUCAAUUCAUCGCGAAUUACGGUGAAUUUGAUUGUAGUUGCUGAUAGAAAUCCGGCUGGAUAGAAAGCCGAUCGACGAAAUUUCGUAACAAAUAUUAAAUUUUACUAGUGGCAGGAGAUAAAGAAGUCUUAAUACAAGUAUUACAAUGUAGAAAAUAUAAAUAUUUUACACA